This 608-nucleotide ribosomal RNA is filed under the name uncultured crenarchaeote. RNAcentral's name for it is "bacterial SSU rRNA". It matches the Rfam family "Archaeal small subunit ribosomal RNA", at positions 315 to 922 of the family's 1478-position model. Lineage: Archaea; Thermoproteati; Thermoproteota. The record is from RNAcentral.
GCCAGGCCCUACGGGGCGCAGCAGGCGCGAAACCUCCGCAAUGCACGCAAGUGCGACGGGGGAACCCCAAGUGCCACUCUUAACGGGGUGGCUUUUCAGAAGUGUAAAAAGCUUCUGGAAUAAGGGCUGGGCAAGACCGGUGCCAGCCGCCGCGGUAACACCGGCAGCUUAAGUGGUAGCCGCUUUUAUUGGGCCUAAAGCGUCCGUAGCCGGUCUGAUAAGUCUCUGGUGAAAUCCCGCAGCUUAACUGUGGGAAUUGCUGGAGAUACUAUCAUGACUCGAGGUCGGGAGAGGCUGGAGGUACUCCCAGGGUAGGGGUGAAAUCCUGUAAUCCUGGGAGGACCACCUGUGGCGAAGGCGUCCAGCUGGAACGAACCUGACGGUGAGGGACGAAAGCCAGGGGCGCGAACCGGAUUAGAUACCCGGGUAGUCCUGGCCGUAAACGAUGUGGACUUGGUGUUGGGAUGGCUUCGAGCUGCCCCAGUGCCGAAGGGAAGCUGUUAAGUCCACCGCCUGGGAAGUACGGCCGCAAGGCUGAAACUUAAAGGAAUUGGCGGGGGAGCAUCACAACGCGUGGAGCCUGCGGUUUAAUUGGAUUCAACGCCGGG